GGCGAACGGGUGAGUAACACGUGGGUGAUCUGCCCUGCACUCUGGGAUAAGCCUGGGAAACUGGGUCUAAUACCGGAUAGGACCAUGCUUUAGUGUGUGUGGUGGAAAGUUUUUCGGUGUAGGAUGAGCCCGCGGCCUAUCAGCUUGUUGGUGAGGUAAUGGCCUACCAAGGCGGCGGCGGGUAGCCGGACUGAGAGGUUGGUCGGCCACAUUGGGACUGAGAUACGGCCCAG
This 233-nucleotide ribosomal RNA is filed under the name uncultured Actinomycetales bacterium. RNAcentral's name for it is "partial 16S ribosomal RNA". It matches the Rfam family "Bacterial small subunit ribosomal RNA", at positions 97 to 334 of the family's 1533-position model. Lineage: Bacteria; Bacillati; Actinomycetota; Actinomycetes; Actinomycetales. The record is from RNAcentral.